ACGAAGGGACUUCCUUUUCCUCUCUGGCCUAUAUUUUGACAGCGCUGGUUGAAUCCAUGUGCUGACCCAACUGAAGUCGCAGUCGGACAGGAAUCAAAAUGCUGGCCCCUACAUCCUGGCCCAAACACCUUGUUUUGCUCAAAUAUAUAGUCAGAUACCAACGUCCCUUUCAUACUGCUGGGAUUCUGGGAACAGAUGCUUACAAAGCUUGGCCGAAUCCAGCAAAUGCACACGUGAGUGAAAUGGGCAACUGCGGCA
Non-coding RNA from Zootoca vivipara (common lizard), 258 nucleotides. The record is from RefSeq and is a predicted model, not a curated record. Lineage: Eukaryota; Metazoa; Chordata; Lepidosauria; Squamata; Lacertidae.